RNAcentral lists this transfer RNA (69 nucleotides) under Ictidomys tridecemlineatus (thirteen-lined ground squirrel). RNAcentral's name for it is "Spermophilus tridecemlineatus (thirteen-lined ground squirrel) tRNA". It matches the Rfam family "tRNA". Rfam says of the family: Transfer RNA (tRNA) molecules are approximately 80 nucleotides in length. Their secondary structure includes four short double-helical elements and three loops (D, anti-codon, and T loops). Further hydrogen bonds mediate the characteristic L-shaped molecular structure. tRNAs have two regions of fundamental functional importance: the anti-codon, which is responsible for specific mRNA codon recognition, and the 3' end, to which the tRNAs corresponding amino acid is attached (by aminoacyl-tRNA synthetases). tRNAs cope with the degeneracy of the genetic code in two manners: having more than one tRNA (with a specific anti-codon) for a particular amino acid; and 'wobble' base-pairing, i.e. permitting non-standard base-pairing at the 3rd anti-codon position. The record is from Rfam by way of RNAcentral. Lineage: Eukaryota; Metazoa; Chordata; Mammalia; Rodentia; Sciuridae.
GGGGUUGUGGCUCAGUGGUAGAGCAUUUGCCCGUCAAGUAUGAGGCACUGGGUUCGAUCCUUAGCACCA